Molecule: long non-coding RNA, 2095 nt
Filed under: Homo sapiens (human)
Lineage: Eukaryota; Metazoa; Chordata; Mammalia; Primates; Hominidae
Description: HSALNT0388192
Source: RNAcentral
AGGUUACCGCCGAGAGGCCGCGUCCUCAGCUGGUCCUAGACAUGCGUGGCGUCGGGGCUGUGGCACGGUCGGGUCCGGGCUUGAAUGCACCAAGGAAAGGCCAUUUGUGGGGACAUAGCAAGAAGGCAGCUGUCUGCAAGCCAGGAGGAGAACCCUCACCAGAAACCUCACAGAAAUCGGCCAACACCCUCAUCUCGGGCUUCCAGCUUCAGAACAACGAGAAAACAAAUUUCUGUUGUGUCCUGGUUCCCAUUUGUAAUUGGCACCCUAAUGAAACCGUUUUCUGUAGCCCUGGAAAUGGCUGAAAAUGAGGGGAGGGAAAUAAAGUGCUAUAAUUCAGAGCAUGGAGCACACCUUCCUGGUUCACCUGAGCUGGAUUCGGAGAGGUAAAAUGGCCAUUACCUCGUCUAAGCUGCCACUUACAGACACAGUACAGGAUGAGGCCCAGACCCACAGAGACAACGAUGAUGGCCACAGCUAAGAUGAUCCAGAAAUUAUUCCUCCACCAGCUCAUUGCAGUGGAAUCCUGAGAAGAAUGGAGAGAGAAGAAUGAGGUUAUGCUGUGGUGUCGCCUUUUGUUACCAUCAAACCUCCAAUAAAACUGCAUAACACGGCCAGGUGCGGUGGCUCACGCCUGUAAUCCCAGCACUUUGGGAGGCUGAGGAGGGCAGAUCACUUCAGGUCAGGAGUUCAAGACCAGCCUGGCCAACAUGGCGAAACCCUGUCUCUACUAAAAAUACAAAAAUUAGCUGGGUGUGGUGGCACAUGCCUGUAGUCCCAGCUACUCAGGAGGCUGAGGCGGGAGAAUUGCUUAAAGCCAGGAAGCAGAGGUGGCAGUAAGCCGAGAUCACGCCACUACAUUCCAGCCUGGACAACAGAGCAAGACUCCAUCUCAAAACAAAAGCAAAGGCUGGGUGCAGUGGCUCACGCCUGUAAUCUCAUAACUUUGGGUGGCUGAGGCAGGCGGAUCACAUGAGGUCAGGAGUUCGAAACCAGCUUGGCCAUCAUGGUGAAACCCCUUCUCUACUAAAAAUACAAAAAAUUAGCUGGGCAUGGUGGUGCACGCCUGUAAUCCCAGCUACUUGAGAGACUGAGGCAAGAGAAUUGCUUGAACCUGGGAGUCAGAGGUUGCGGUGAGCCGAGGUUGUGCCAUUGCACUCCAGCCUGGGCAACAAGAGCGAGAUUCCAUCUGAAAAAAAAAAAAAAACACCGAUCUCAAAGAGGGAGUUGUGAGAACCCCAACUUGAAGCUGGUUGCUCUCAAGUUCCAGAGGCCCGGACUUGCGACUGACGUCUGGGGAGUUGGGGGCAGCAGUCUUGGGAACUGAGCUGUGAGAUCUGAUACUAUCUCUGGGUCUAUAGUGCUGGCAUUGAAUUGGAGAACACCCAGCUGGUGUUCACUGCUUGGUGUGUGGCGGAAAAACCCUCACACAUUUGGUCACAGAAGCCCUUUUCUGUGUUGGUGAUUGUUGUGCUGGUGUGAGAACAGAGGAAAAACACCGCUUGCAGAGUUUUUCCUGAAACAAUACUCUUUAGAGCGAUAGAAAUAAAUACCACGACCUGCGCAUUCAAAGCUGUUGUAUCUGGAUUGUGACUGCGUGGAAGGUCGAGGCGGGAAGACAGGGGCUGUUGCUUUUCGUUAUAAACUCUGCAUUACUUGAUUUUUGCACUACGUACAUUUACUUUGAUAACACUGGAAAGAAUAAAUUGGCCAUGUAGUGUAGCUUCCAAAAAAAACUAUUGCUUGGGUUUCAAGGUCAAGGAAAUUUCAUUCUCAUCAGUUUCUUGGGAAAGAGGAAGUGGAAUGAUGUUGUCAGAAAGUGAAACCAUGGGUCAUUUUCAGAACUACUCAGAGUAAUAAAUAUUUUUUGUCAGUUUUGUUCUUACAAGUGAAAUGGACCGCAGAGAGGCACUUUUUCUUUUCUUUUUUCUUUCUUUCUUUUUUUUUUUUUUGAGAUGAAGUCUCGCUCUUGUACCCCAGGCUGGAGUGCGAUGGCGUGAUCUCGGCUCACUGCACCCUCCACCUCUCCAGUUCAAGCGAUUCUUCUGCCUCAGCCUCUCCAGUAGCUGCGAUUACAGGUGUGUGCCACCAUGCC